This 72-nucleotide transfer RNA is filed under the name Ovis aries (sheep). It matches the Rfam family "tRNA". Rfam says of the family: Transfer RNA (tRNA) molecules are approximately 80 nucleotides in length. Their secondary structure includes four short double-helical elements and three loops (D, anti-codon, and T loops). The record is from Rfam by way of RNAcentral. Lineage: Eukaryota; Metazoa; Chordata; Mammalia; Artiodactyla; Bovidae.
UCCCUGAUAGCUCAGUGGGUAAAGAAUUUGCCUGGAGUACAGGAGACCCAGGUUCAAUCCCUGGGUUGGGAA